This 458-nucleotide ribosomal RNA is filed under the name uncultured bacterium. RNAcentral describes it as "bacterial SSU rRNA". It matches the Rfam family "Bacterial small subunit ribosomal RNA", at positions 340 to 787 of the family's 1533-position model. The record is from RNAcentral.
UACGGAAGGCAGCAAUGGGGAAUAUUGCACAAUGGGCGAAAGCCUGAUGCAGCUAUGCCGCGUGUAUGAAGAAGGCCUUAGGGUUGUAAAGUACUUUCAUCGGGGAGGAAAAAACAAAACUAAUAAUUUUAUUUCUUGACGUUACCCGAAAAAGAAGCACCGGCUAACUCCGUGCCAGCAGCCGCGGUAAUACGGAGGGUGCUAGCGUUAAUCAGAAUUACUGGGCGUAAAGAGCACGUAGGUGGUUUUUUUAAGUCAGAUGUGAAAUCCCUGGGCUUAACCUAGGAACUGCAUUUUGAAACUGAAAUACUAGAGUAUCGUAGAGGGAGGUAGAAUUCUAGGUGUAGCGGUGAAAUGCGUAGAUAUCUGGAGGAAUACCUGUGGCGAAAGCGGCCUCCUAAACGAAUACUGACACUGAGGUGCGAAAGCGUGGGGAGCAAACGAGGGAUUAGACUACC